AUGCCAUGGCCAUUCUCCUAAAGGCAAGGGAAUGAAAACGGGGAGGGAAAGAACCGGUCGCCAGGAAAGGCGCUGGGAGGCUCCAGAAGUCGCGGCAGUUUGUGUGCAGCACUGCCCUCUGCUGGUCGCAGACAGACGGCAGCUGGAUGGCAACAGCGUCCUGGGCUGGGAAAAUUAAGAUGGCGGAUGAGAAAAACCACCAGCCAGAGUGUCUCUGCAAGAAAGGCAGAUUUUAGAAGAAAGUGAAAUAAAUAAACAGGCAGACUAACACAGAUCGGAUCAGGGUCUGAAAGAAGGAUGCCUGAGACUACAGGAGACUCCACAGGAAGAAGUUGCAGAGGAGAAAGCUCCCAAGAGAAGCUUGGAGACCAGCGACAAGGUUCUGGAGUCCAGAAGUCCAAGACCAAGGUGUCGACAUGACCAUGCUCCCCUGAAGGCUCCAGGUAAGGAUCUGCUCCAGGGCUCUCUCCUAGCUUCUGGUAGUUUCUUGGCUUGUGGUAGCGUAAUGCUAAUCUUCACACGGUGUGCUCCCUGUAUGAGACAGUCUAUGUCCAAGUGUCCCUUUUUUAUAAGGACACGGGUCACAUUGGACUAGGGGCCCACCCUAUUCCAGUAUGACCUCAUCUUAACCAAUUACAUCUGCAACAACCCUAUUUCCCAAUAAGGUCAUGUUCUGAGAUACUGGGAGUGAGGACUUCAACAUAUGGAUUUGGGGAAGAUACAAUUGAACCCAUAACAGCCACAGCUGUGCCCUGCACAUUCAAUUCCACCAAAACGGAGAUCUGCUUUGCACAGCCCAUUCCACAGCUUGACACUUAAGUGCUCAGAGGCCACACAUGUGAUAGAACCACCCUGCUGCUGUUCUCCAUGUGCUGAAGAUGAGGCCAGAGACAUGGGCAGGGGCUGAACCAUGCAGGGUGCUGAAGGCCAUGUGAGCAUUUUGUGCUUCAGCAAUGGAGUGUCAUUGAUGUUUACAAACAGGAGAAGGGUGAUCAGAUUCUAGAGAGAUCCUUCUAACUUUAGUCUUGAUAAAUAGAAUGGAGUUGGGACAAGGCUGUUGCAGCUAUUCAAGCAAGAACACAGAGCUUGCCUGAACUUCAACAGUGGCAAUGGGAAUUCGGGGAAGAUGACUUGGAGAAAUAUCUAUGAUUUAUGUAUCAGGGUUUCUAGAGGAAAAGAAUCUAAAGUUUAUGUUAUUUUAGCAAGAGAGCUGCCAUUUGGGGAUUGCUGGCAAAGGGAACUGUCAUUUGGGUUUUUGGACAUGGGCACUGUAAUUAAUUUUGGCACAGAUUUCCUUAUUUUCAAGGAAGUCACCAGGGUAAACUCUCUCAUUGCAACAAAGUAAAGUAUGUUGGUCUUGGAAUAAACAAAUGGUGACAAUGUCGUAAACCCGAGGGUGGCAGCUGCCGACUGAGAUUUUAAAUGGUGAAGCAUUAGAGAAAAGUUUUCCCAAAGUAAAAUACUUAGACUGAAUUAUUGGUAUCCUCCAUGUAUUAGGUUCCUAUUUGCUGCUGCAACAAACUGCCAUAAACUUAGUGGCUUGGAACAACACAAAUGUAGUAUCUUGCAGCACUGUAGAUCAGAAGUCUGAUGUGGUUCUCUCAAGGCUACAGUGGAGAUGCUGGCGGGGCCGCGUGCCUUUCUGGAGGCUGGAAGGCCCCUCUGCCCUUCUGAGGCCACCCACAGUCCUUGGCUCUGGCCCCUCCCUCUGCCUUCGAAGCCAGCCCUGACCCUUCUGCUGCUUCCACUUUUAAGGAUUCUUGUGAUCACACUGGGCUCACCUGGGUCGUCCAGGGUGCUC
This is a non-coding RNA of Microcebus murinus (gray mouse lemur), 1801 nucleotides long. The record is from RefSeq and is a predicted model, not a curated record. Lineage: Eukaryota; Metazoa; Chordata; Mammalia; Primates; Cheirogaleidae.